Molecule: long non-coding RNA, 771 nt
Organism: Prionailurus viverrinus (fishing cat)
Lineage: Eukaryota; Metazoa; Chordata; Mammalia; Carnivora; Felidae
Exons: 3
Source: RefSeq, a predicted model, not a curated record
GCUCUUAUUUGGAGCUGUGCUAGUUUCACAAAUAAUGGGAGCCAACUGGUUUUUCAAGGCUGCACUAGGCUCUGAAAUUAAAUCCUGCAGAGGUAGGACUGUCCCUGACUUCCUAAGUUGCCUCCGCUGUCAAAUCCUCUGUCCCGGACCAGUCUGUCUUGCUGAGGGCCCUUGAAGAUGCCCAGGGCCGAGCAGGAUCACUUGAACUUUCUGAGCCAGAUUUUCUUUUUGUUGUGGUUUAGUCAAACGCUCCAAGCUUCACUGUCGCCAGGAUCCUCAGCUGGAACCUUCUCUUCCGGUACUCCAGUCAUGAAUACCCAAUGCAACACCUACACUUCAGAUGUCGAAUAAGAUCCCUUCGAUGGCUUCCUGUCGCUCUCAGAAAACCAAAGUUUUCACAAGGUCUUGUAAGUUCUGUGGUCUUCUUGCUUUCCUUCCCUCUCUGAACUCAACUUCUUUUUCUUUCAUUCACACCACGCCAGCCACAAGUGCCUCCUUCCGCUUCUGAAACACCUAAGGGUGCUCGCUGGGGAAUUUUCCAGUUGUUCUUCCCUUUGCCUGAGCACUUUCCCCCCAGACAUCUAAAGUGGCUGGCUUCCUCACCUUAUUCAGGCUUUUGCUCAAAAAGUCACCUCAUUAGUCAUUAACCUUGGCGAUUCUAUUCAAAAUUGCAACCCCAAUUUCCAGCACCCUUUCCAGCUUUCCUUUUUUUUUUUUAAUUUUUUUUCAACGUUUUUAUUUAUUUUUGAGACAGAGAGAGACAGAGCAUGA